CGGACCACUUCGGUGGUUAGUGGCGUACGGGUGANUACACGUGGUUGACCUACCCCAAAGUAAGGGAUUACGGUCCGAAAGGACUGCUAAUACCUUAUAAGCUCCCGGUGUUUAGAAAACUGGGAGAAAAGUUCCGGCGCUUUGGGCGGGGACUGCGGACCAUCAGCUAGUUGGUGUGGUAACGGCACACCAAGGCGACGACGGAUAGGGGACCUGAGAGGGUGGCCCCCCACACUGGAACUGAGACACGGUCCAGACUCCUACGGGAGGCAGCAGUGAGGAAUAUUGCACAAUGGGCGCAAGCCUGAUGCAGCGACGCCGCGUGGGUGAUUAAGGUUUUCGGAUCGUAAAGCCCUUUUCUAGAUGACGAGUAAGGACGGUAGUCUAGGAAUAAGUGUCGGCUAACUACGUGCCAGCAGCCGCGGUAAAACGUAGGACACAAGCGUUAUCCGGAGUUACUGGGCGUAAAGGGCGUGUAGGCGGAACCUGUAAGUCUAUUCUGAAAGCUCCUGGCUAACUGGGGAGANGCGAAUGGAGACUGC
RNAcentral lists this ribosomal RNA (542 nucleotides) under uncultured Anaerolinea sp. Its description in RNAcentral is "bacterial SSU rRNA". It matches the Rfam family "Bacterial small subunit ribosomal RNA", at positions 67 to 636 of the family's 1533-position model. Lineage: Bacteria; Bacillati; Chloroflexota; Anaerolineae; Anaerolineales; Anaerolineaceae. The record is from RNAcentral.